UGUAGCAGUGAGGAAUAUUGGUCAAUAGCCUAACGGCUGAACCAGCAACUUGGAGGGGUGAAUAGGGAAAACCGGUAAAAAGGUAAUGUACCUAUGAUAUUGGUAAUAAAACUGGUAUUAUGUUAACAAAGUUAAUUAAAGUUCAAAGUAAGUAUUGAUUAUGACAGUAUUUACUGAUGUCUUGACUAAGUCACGUGCCAGCAGUCGCGGUAAUACGUGGAAGAUAAGUGUUAUUCAUCUUUAAUAGGUUUAAAGGGUACCUAGACGGUUAGCAAAACACAAAAAUGUAUUUUUUAACUAGAGUUUAAUGUAAGAAAGAUUGAGUACGGUGAGUGUAGAGAUAUAAUUUUAUGAUACCACUUCGGAACUGGUAAAGGCGAAGGCAACUUUCUAUGUAAAAACUGACGUUGAAGGACGAAGG
This 421-nucleotide ribosomal RNA is filed under the name Astrochapsa astroidea. Its description in RNAcentral is "SSU rRNA". It matches the Rfam family "Bacterial small subunit ribosomal RNA", at positions 347 to 759 of the family's 1533-position model. Lineage: Eukaryota; Fungi; Ascomycota; Lecanoromycetes; Ostropales; Graphidaceae. The record is from RNAcentral.